UACGUAGGGUGCGAGCGUUAAUCGGAAUUACUGGGCGUAAAGCGUGCGCAGGCGGUGAUGUAAGACAGUUGUGAAAGCCCCGGGCUCAACCUGGGAACUGCAUUUGAAACUGGCGGGCUUGAGUGUGGCAGAGGGGGGUGGAAUUCCGCGUGUAGCAGUGAAAUGCGUAGAGAUGCGGAGGAACACCGAUGGCGAAGGCAGCCCCCUGGGCCAACACUGACGCUCAGGCACGAAAGCGUGGGGAGCAAACAGG
RNAcentral lists this ribosomal RNA (253 nucleotides) under uncultured bacterium. Its description in RNAcentral is "partial 16S ribosomal RNA". It matches the Rfam family "Bacterial small subunit ribosomal RNA", at positions 524 to 776 of the family's 1533-position model. The record is from RNAcentral.